GAUGAACGCUAGCUACAGGCUUAACACAUGCAAGUCGAGGGGAAACGACAUCGAAAGCUUGCUUUUGAUGGGCGUCGACCGGCGCACGGGUGAGUAACGCGUAUCCAACCUGCCCAUCACUUGGGAAUAACCUUGCGAAAGUAAGACUAAUACCCAAUGAUAUCCCACGAAGGCAUCGGAAUGGGAUUAAAGAUUUAUCGGUGAUGGAUGGGGAUGCGUCUGAUUAGCUUGUUGGCGGGGUAACGGCCCACCAAGGCAACGAUCAGUAGGGGUUCUGAGAGGAAGGGCCCCCACAGUGGAACUGAGACACGGCCAAACCUCCGAGGGGAGGCAACAUGGGGGAAUGGGGGCAAAGGGGGGGAGGCCUAAACCAGCAAAGAAAGGGUAAGGAAGACGGCCCUAGGGUGUGUAAAAGGCUUUUAUAAGGGAAAAAAGUGGGUCACGUGGGACUUUUGGCAGUACCCUAAGAAAGAAGGACGGGCAAAUUCCGG
Molecule: ribosomal RNA, 491 nt
Filed under: uncultured bacterium
Lineage: Bacteria
Description: partial 16S ribosomal RNA
Rfam family: Bacterial small subunit ribosomal RNA
Source: RNAcentral